This 464-nucleotide ribosomal RNA is filed under the name uncultured bacterium. RNAcentral describes it as "partial 16S ribosomal RNA". It matches the Rfam family "Bacterial small subunit ribosomal RNA", at positions 28 to 507 of the family's 1533-position model. The record is from RNAcentral.
GACGAACGCUGGCGGCGUGCCUAACACAUGCAAGUCGAGCGAAUGAAGUUCCUUCGGGAAUGGAUUUAGCGGCGGACGGGUGAGUAACACGUGGGCAACCUGCCUCAUAGAGGGGAAUAGCCUUCCGAAAGGGAGAUUAAUACCGCAUAAGAUUGUAGUAUCGCAUGAUACAGCAAUUAAAGGAGCAAUCCGCUAUGAGAUGGGCCCGCGGCGCAUUAGCUAGUUGGUGAGGUAACGGCUCACCAAGGCGACGAUGCGUAGCCGACCUGAGAGGGUGAUCGGCCACAUUGGGACUGAGACACGGCCCAGACUCCUACGGGAGGCAGCAGUGGGGAAUAUUGCACAAUGGGGGAAACCCUGAUGCAGCAACGCCGCGUGAGUGAUGACGGCCUUCGGGUUGUAAAGCUCUGUCUUCAGGGACGAUAAUGACGGUACCUGAGGAGGAAGCCAUGGCUAACUACGUG